This 202-nucleotide ribosomal RNA is filed under the name uncultured bacterium. Its description in RNAcentral is "partial 16S ribosomal RNA". It matches the Rfam family "Bacterial small subunit ribosomal RNA", at positions 1290 to 1500 of the family's 1533-position model. The record is from RNAcentral.
AGUUCGGAUCGCAGGCUGCAACUCGCCUGCGUGAAGUUGGAAUUGCUAGUAAUCGCGGAUCAGCAUGCCGCGGUGAAUACGUUCCCGGGCCUUGUACACACCGCCCGUCAAGCCAUGGGAGCCGGGGGUGCCUGAAGUUCGUUACCGUAAGGAUCGACCUAGGGCAAAACUGGUGACUGGGGCUAAGUCGUAACAAGGUAUC